GGGUUGGUUGGAUCACCAUCCUCUGGUGUCAUGGUCAUGAAUUGUCACUGCGUCGCUUGCUUCCAAAUCCAUCCCCCUCCAAUCACAAGGCUUCCUACGAUCCCCUCCCUCACGCGCUCCCACGGCCGCCGCUAAAUCGCCCCACUCGGAGGUCCGUGAUGCCCAUGACGCCACACGUCUCGAUGCUGCCGGACGUGACGACGAGGCAGAGGAGGAGAGGGAGGCGAUGACGACAACUCCCCUCCAACCUUUUUUUACCUGGCGCCGAUGGUCGUCCCACGGCGGCGCGUCCCCGCCCCCCGUCGUGUCGUCCCGAUGGCAAAUUUGGUGACCAGCUGCCCUCCACCUCAGUGGUUGGUCUUCCCCAUCUCCUAGCUCGCGAGGUAAAUAUAGAGGAGGACAUCACCGAUCUGGAUCUGGGACAAGCUGGGGGCAGUGAUGUAGGGGUACUUCGUCGCCAGUGGGUGAGGGAUGCGAAGGGCGCCGUCGUCAACGCCGUCAUGCCGCAUCCCACGCUGGCGCGUCGCGGCCACAAUCUCCAUGUUGCUCCUCUGCCCUUGCCGCCACCGUUUUGCAUCUAGCACUGCUGAUGGCGGCGGUCAGCCUCCACCUCCCUCCGUCCACCUUCCCCUGCACUGGAUGGAUGUGUUGUUGCCGCUCUACCAGGCUGCGCGGAUGAAGCGAGUCCGCUGAAAGAGCAAGGGAGGACGAUGAGGGGGGGUAGCCAAUCUGGUUUUCGUUCUAACAAUUUUGGGAGAAGAGGAGGAUCAGAUGGGGACGGUAGAGAAGGGCUCGUGGGUGGUGCCGGCACUGACUUGGAGGGAGGUGGAGGACGCCGGGCUUCAGGUGCGGCCGCUCGCUCAUCGCAGUCACUUCAGUUCGGUUACACAAACUUGAACACAUCACGACGAGAUUCGUAGGCCUUCUUGCGCUUGCUCUGAUGUCUCUGUCCUCUUCGGUGAUGCCAUCACCAUCAUCCAUUCCCAGUGCCCCCAUGAAGCAAUUGGAUACACCAUGACAGAUUCACUCUGUCGGCACAAGCUAUACGCCAAUAUUUCUUCCUCGUGCAAGGAGCUACAUCUCUGAUCUGGUCAUAACCCAUACCUUUCGUAAGAGUGCGAAAGCAAGAAGCCAUUUUUUUGGUUAGUAUAAUUAUCUGAUCCUGACAUUUAUAUCUUGUAAAUAUUUGAUCAACCAUUUGACUUUCUUGUCUCCUAAAUAUUCCACCCGAGCUUACAAUUCUGGUGUUUGGUGUAUAUAAAGCCCCUAUUUUGUUUGGUGUAUAUUAUUGUACAUUCGAAAAUUAGUAGAAAGUUAAUGGAACUAUUGUUAAUGUGUAGCAUUUCAAUUCAGUGAGCACUGUGUCUAGCACUUCAAUAAAGUGAGCAUUUGCAGUGACCCCUUUGUCUCUGCAUUGUUUGGUGUCGUCAAUGGCAAAAGGUGAUGAGCUUUGCAACCUUGUUGCUUUCCUUUUCAUUUGAUUUAGGAAUGAUAAAUGAUUGUUAGAUUGCAUGGUAGGCAAAUUGAACACCAAAUUAUUCAAUAUACUUGCCUUGAUGCUUGUAACUCACAUGCAAAAAAAUAAAUCACUUGUUGGGAGUCAGUGUAAUAGGUCCCCUGUGUGUGGUGGGCAUGGCUCUUGACCUGUGUCCAUCCUCGGCUCUCGACCUGUGUCCAUGUUAGCAUAGAUUGCUUUGGGUGUCAUAGGUUAUUCUUUUGGUUGACGAUGUGCAGAUGUUAGUGUCAUCGCAGGUGGGACAAUAAUGGCAUAGACAAAGCGAUCGCCAUGAGCGUGGGCUACCUACGAUCGGAUGGUUAUUCCUGUCACAACACACGGACAUGAUCAUAACUUGCAAUUUGAUGUCUUAUCAUUCCUUCAGUUGUGGUUGCUGAUUAGGUAGCCCUUGCAAGGGCAGUCGAAGAAUGGAUAGCGGGUAAGGAAAUGAUGGUGUCACCCAAGCAAGAGCGUAUUGGAAUCCUGAUCCAAUAAUCAUGAAUGGUUAAGAUGAUUUAUUUAAUAUCAUCGUGUAAAUGUAUCACCCUUCAUACAUGAUAUUGGUCCAUAAUGGUAUGGUUGGACAUUAUUUUAUUUCUAUGGCAAUGCAUGGGCUCUAUUAUUUUAA
Molecule: long non-coding RNA, 2123 nt
Organism: Sorghum bicolor (sorghum)
Lineage: Eukaryota; Viridiplantae; Streptophyta; Magnoliopsida; Poales; Poaceae
Exons: 3
Source: RefSeq, a predicted model, not a curated record